This 213-nucleotide long non-coding RNA is filed under the name Elaeis guineensis (African oil palm). RNAcentral's name for it is "long non-coding RNA (EGUI_LNC013136)". Lineage: Eukaryota; Viridiplantae; Streptophyta; Magnoliopsida; Arecales; Arecaceae. The record is from RNAcentral.
GUGGAUUGGAAUUCCCAAGUAGGAGCUUGGGGAGUGGAUGUAGGUACAAGGUUGGCACCGAACCACUAUAAAUCCUUUUGUUUGUGGUGUGCAUAAUUGCUUCUCUUUAACUCUUCAUUAUUUCCUUGCAUUCUUGCUUUUGGCAAUUAGUCUUGAAUUAAGUUUAUUCUCCUCAUUCAUUUAGCUAUUGACGAACAUUUUUCAUAAGUCAUU